CACUCCACCCUGGGCAACAAAGCGAUACCUUGUCUCCAAAAAAAAAAAAAAAAGUUAAAAUAUGUACACUUACUGUGAGCACUACUACGAUUGAGGCCCUGGGGGUACCACAGAGUAUCAGAGUAGUCCUGCCUGCCUGCAGCUUCCUUCCCACAGGGAGAGGAUUGAGGAUAGAUUAUAAACAGAAGAUGAGAGGGACCAGAAGAGCAGGCUGUAACUUCAACCAGAGUGGCCAGGGAAGACCCUCACUGAAAAGGGGCAUCGAGCAGACAGAUAUAAAGAAGGCAAAGAAGCAGGCCACAGGACUGGCUGGGGAAAGCAUGCUCCAGCUCUCCCCGAAGGUCCUCUGAGGAGGAGAAACAAAGCAAGGCGUGCAUGAGCGACACGGGAGAUUAUAUGGCAAGGUCACCAGCUCUUUAUAUCCCAACUGACUCAUUCAUUCCCCAGAGACUCCUAAGGCCAAGAGUGAACGUGCAGGCACAGGGCCAAGCAUGGGGAGCGGGGGGCAGGGGGCCCAUACCCAAGCAUUCUAGCUCUACCCAAGUGGCUCUGAGCUGAGCUCCCCUGCACAGCUCUCUUCCUAACCCCAGUCCCCCAGCAGUACCCCUCUACCCCAUCUGUGCCCAUGAGAAGCGGCAUGCCCUGCGGGGGCCUGACUAGAUUUGCCACCACAGCCCCUACACCAAUCUGGCCAUGGCACAGCCAGCUCCUAUUUUCACACACAGCUUCUGGAAAGCACACCCAGGGACCCCUGAGCUACCAGGAACCCUCCACCACCACCGCACUAUGUGGCCCAGCUUGGCGCCCAGGCCCCUACCUUUGAACUUCUUCAGCAUCCCUUUUAAGACAAAGGUCUUGAGAGAAACAUUCCAGACUUUAUUCUUCAUCUCAGAAGAGACUGUGGUUGGCUUGGGGCCAGGCACAUUGCUACACCUGCAGGACAAGGGCUCUGAGAAGGGCCUGUGUGCACCAUUUUGCUCCCACAGGCUGUGACAAUUAGGAUGGCGAGGUCCUCUUGGCAGAAAGAGGUAGAAAAGGGAGAGCCAGACCUCAUGCAGAAAAACCCAUGGCCAGGCAGGUGGGCGUUUGUCUCGGAAGGUCCCCAGGCAAGCAAGUCGGGGGAUCAGGAGGUGAGAGGUCAGGGGACAGGGAAUAAAGACAAGGCUCAGUGAAAAGGGAAGAAGCAACUUAGAGAGGCCCCAGGAGCUGUGAGGUCACUCACCUGCUCAGCGUGCUUUUGAAUUCCUGGAAGGAAAGAUAGAGGAAACCAAAUCAGCAUCAGGUAACCUCCAUUCACCUCUGAGAAACAAAGCUUGCCCCUUGCUGUGCCUCCCAGAUGUAAGCAUAAGCAAGUGUGCCACGCCUCACUGCCUGCGUGGGCCUCAGGGGCAGCAGCUUCCAGUGGCUGCUGGCUGCAGGGUGUCUCACCCACGCAGUGGACCUCUCACCCUUUGCCACAACUCUUCACGUGCUUUCUUUCUAUCUUUGCUGCUUUCUUAGUUACAGAAUCAUCACUGGAGCUAUCCCAUGGGACCCAGUGCUGCGUGUGUCCUGGAAACCACCUGAGGGAGGUCACAGCCCUUAUGCACCUACUGCUCACUCAGCCCCAUAAUGACUGUUCUUAACCCAUCUAUGGAUUGUGAAGUUUAUCUAGUUGUUUAUAACUUUUUUUUUAGCGAAAUAGAAUAGAAAACAUCAAAGUGCAUACGUGUAGCAAAGGUGAGUAUUAUUUUCUGAGACUUUUGUCUCAAGCUUGUGAUUCUGAAAUACGAUAUAUAUUAUUGUGGCUCAUAGUCAAGAAAGUUUUCACAUCUCUCUAGACCUCCAACCCCAGGAAAAUCAGGGCACUUCUCUCCAGUCCCCUUCAGCUCCAGAUCAUGUGAUUCUCCUAGACCCCCCAGGACUGACACUGUUCUCUAGCUGCUGGUCCUGAUGCCUUAGGAUAAAUGACUCGAGCCCCUGGCUGAGCCAGACUUACCUGGAGAAAGUCAAGGUCAGGCUUUUGAGCUGUCUCCUGGAUCUGGCUGCUGAGCUUGGACAGCUGGGUGAUCUCAACCCCGAGCUGGGCCAGGUUCUCAUUCUGCUUCUGUGCCACCUCCCGGGACAGUUCCUCCAGGCGGCCUAGCAGCCGACCCUCCUGCUCCACCAGGAAAGCCCUCAGUGCCUGGAACUCUGCCCCCACCUUCUCCUGCUCCGCUGCCAUCUGUUUCUGUCCCAGGAGGAGAAGUUGGAGAGGGACUUGAACAUGGAGACAUAACAUUUGGCCAGUGGCCUGAGUCAUCCCACAGGGCAAGGCUUCGUCCCUGUCACUGCUGGAGGAUCGGAGACACACCCACCUACGCACGCAGUGCGUGCUCUAUUGUCAGUGUCCCAGCUCUGAACAAGCUGUAGUCUGGACACAUGCUCUUUUCUCCCCUGCCACAGAUGCACCCACACAUGUCUGUGGACCUGUGCUCCAUCACCUAAACCAAGGCAGCUUCAUACUCCCCCCAGAACUACGCCAAGCUGCAGCUUCCUCACUUGAAAAGCAGAAGGGAUAAAUUAGUGCCUCCUGGGGCAACCAUAGGAUUAAACUGAGAUUGCUUUUUCUUCCUCAAGCACAUUUAUUUCAUCACCCUCAAACUUUUACACUUCACUUUCUUUUUAAAGGCCAUCUUUCCUGUUUAGCAGUUAUAAUGCUAACACAUGCUCAAAAUACAAAACUUGGGAGAUGUAGGAAAGUAGAAAGAAGGAAGAAAAGUCCGAUGCCAGUGACCAGAGGUAGCAGCACACCCCCAAGGAACGAAGUGAGAAUAUGCGGCAUGCAAGUGUCAUAUUCUGUUCUUUCCAUUAACAGCAUACACCGGAUUUUUUACUCGAGUUUUCAGAUGCAGACUCAUGCCCUGAUCUCUUGAUUUUUUAUGUGAACACACGUUUGGCACUCAAUAUGUCCCACCAGGAAGUUCCUCUUCCUUAAAACUCCUGGGCGGAGGAAGGGAGUCCUGUGAAGUUGGGAGACCUGGGUUCAAGGUGUCCUACAAUGCCCCCACCUUUCCUUCAGCUUCCAGGCAGGCUGCAGUAGCCUGGAGCGCCUUAUGGAUAUUAACUCCCUCAACCCUGACGGCAGCCCAGUGGGGAGGGUGCACUUCCCUUCAAGUCUUACAGGUGGAGUCUCGCUCUGUCUCCCAGGCUGGAGUGCAGUGGCGCGAUCUCGGCUCACUGCAAGCUCUGCCUCCCGGGUUCACACCAUUCUCCUGCCUCAGCCUCCGGAGUAGCUGGGACUACAGGCGCCCGCCACCACGCCCGGCUAUUUUGUAUUUUUAGUAGAGACAGGGGUUUCACCGUGUUUGCCAGGACGGUCUUGAUCUCCUGACCUCGUGAUCCGCCCACCUCGGCCUCCCAAAGUGCUGGGAUUACAGGCGUGAGCCACCCUGCCAGGCCUCAUGUUUGCUUAUCUUAACCAAAAUGAGCCCUCGUUUCACUUUCCUGUUCUACCCUAAGGAAGAUAAAAUAUCAUUCCAACUUGGGGUAGAGGCAGGUGCCAGUACCCAAGACCCUGGGCUGUGCAGCAGGGGCUACUGUAAACCCAAGACCCUAAACUUCCUCCCUCUGCCAGAGCCAGGGAGCAGCUCUGACGCCCUCUAGCCCCUUCUCCGUUAGCCUCGAUUUCAAAUAAAAACACUGUGAACAUGAAA
Molecule: long non-coding RNA, 3674 nt
Filed under: Homo sapiens (human)
Lineage: Eukaryota; Metazoa; Chordata; Mammalia; Primates; Hominidae
Description: HSALNT0331505
Source: RNAcentral